Molecule: ribosomal RNA, 730 nt
Filed under: uncultured bacterium
Lineage: Bacteria
Description: bacterial SSU rRNA
Rfam family: Bacterial small subunit ribosomal RNA
Source: RNAcentral
AACAGGAUUAGAUACCCUGGUAGUCCACGCCGUAAACGAUGUCGACUUGGAGGUUGUGCCCUUGAGGCGUGGCUUCCGGAGCUAACGCGUUAAGUCGACCGCCUGGGGAGUACGGCCGCAAGGUUAAAACUCAAAUGAAUUGACGGGGGCCCGCACAAGCGGUGGAGCAUGUGGUUUAAUUCGAUGCAACGCGAAGAACCUUACCUACUCUUGACAUCCAGAGAACUUAGCAGAGAUGCUCUGGUGCCUUCGGGAACUCUGAGACAGGUGCUGCAUGGCUGUCGUCAGCUCGUGUUGUGAAAUGUUGGGUUAAGUCCCGCAACGAGCGCAACCCUUAUCCUUUGUUGCCAGCGGUUAGGCCGGGAACUCAAAGGAGACUGCCAGUGAUAAACUGGAGGAAGGUGGGGAUGACGUCAAGUCAUCAUGGCCCUUACGAGUAGGGCUACACACGUGCUACAAUGGCAUAUACAAAGAGAAGCGACCUCGCGAGAGCAAGCGGACCUCAUAAAGUAUGUCGUAGUCCGGAUUGGAGUCUGCAACUCGACUCCAUGAAGUCGGAAUCGCUAGUAAUCGUGGAUCAGAAUGCCACGGUGAAUACGUUCCCGGGCCUUGUACACACCGCCCGUCACACCAUGGGAGUGGGUUGCAAAAGAAGUAGGUAGCUUAACCUUCGGGAGGGCGCUUACCACUUUGUGAUUCAUGACUGGGGUGAAGUCGUAACAAGGUAACC